Molecule: ribosomal RNA, 257 nt
Filed under: uncultured bacterium
Lineage: Bacteria
Description: partial 16S ribosomal RNA
Rfam family: Bacterial small subunit ribosomal RNA
Source: RNAcentral
UCCUACGGGGGGCAGCAGUAGGGAAUCUUCCACAAUGGACGAAAGUCUGAUGGAGCAACGCCGCGUGAGUGAAGAAGGGUUUCGGCUCGUAAAGCUUUGUUGGGAGUGAAGAAAGAUAGAGGUAGUAACUGGCCUUUAUUUGACGGUAAUUACUUAGAAAGUCACGGCUAACUACGUGCCAGCAGCCGCGGUAAUACGGAGGAUGCGAGCGUUAUCCGGAUUUAUUGGGCGUAAAGAGAGUGCAGGCGGUUUAAUAA